RNAcentral lists this long non-coding RNA (378 nucleotides) under Eutrema salsugineum. RNAcentral's name for it is "long non-coding RNA (ESAL_LNC001619)". Lineage: Eukaryota; Viridiplantae; Streptophyta; Magnoliopsida; Brassicales; Brassicaceae. The record is from RNAcentral.
UAAAACAAGCUCAAACCAACAAAAUAGAAAAAAAUUCAACAAUGGAUUUUACAAAGAUGCUACAAAGAAUCAAGAACAAAAAAAUAUGAGGAUGUAAUCAGGAAGCACUUUCUCCUCACUAGAAACCAGAACCGGUGCGUAGAUCCGCCGUCGAAGUGUGUUGUUUCCUCACCGGCGAGCUUUUCUCCAUCGCAAUUUCACGAUUCCACACUAAAAAUCAACAAAAACUCAGUAAAAAUCCAAAGAAAUUGCGAUAAAAAAAAGAGAGAGAGAGAGAGACAGAGAGAGUACGUUGUUGUAGGGUAAUAGCUUCGAAGCAACAACAAUGGCGGAUUUGGUAUAAACGAAUUCAAGAGACAAAGGAAGAGUAGAAGCUAA